GACCAAAAACUUAAAUUUCAGGCGCGUAGCUGCCUUUACGCAAAAAAUCAUUUGCUUGCACAUGUUUUUCACAAAAAAAAAAAUCAAAAAAAUCCUGAAAUUGAAUUUCGGAUAGUCUUUAGUCUUUCCGGAUUAUCGUGUCUGGCGGUGUCUGUACUUGCAACUACAAUCACGACACAAAGUUUAACCCCGGUAGAAAUAAAAAUAAAAAUGAAGAAGCUAGAUUUUUAUUUUAGCAAGAAGGCAGCGGAUAACGAAAGCCAAAACGUUUUAUCUAAUUCGCCCAGCAAAGAUGUAAAUGAGCCAUGUACAUCGUUUUCACAAGACGUUACUGCAAAGAAAAUAACAUUGUUUGACCCCCCUUAUCCUGAUAUAUGUCUAGCCUAACAAAUGAUGAGUUGUCAAAACAUGAAACAAAAGUCAACCUACUGCAGCAAAAAUGGGAGCCAAACUCGUAUGGAAACUAC
This 467-nucleotide long non-coding RNA is filed under the name Mytilus galloprovincialis (Mediterranean mussel). The record is from RNAcentral. Lineage: Eukaryota; Metazoa; Mollusca; Bivalvia; Mytilida; Mytilidae.